Molecule: ribosomal RNA, 166 nt
Filed under: uncultured bacterium
Lineage: Bacteria
Description: partial 16S rRNA
Rfam family: Bacterial small subunit ribosomal RNA
Source: RNAcentral
UAGGGAAGUCUUCCACAAUGGACGGCAAGUCUGAUGGAGCAACGCCGCGUGAGUGAAGAAGAUCUUCGGAUCGUAAAACUCUGUUGUUAGAGAAGAACACGAGUGAGAGUAACUGUUCAUUCGAUGACGGUAUCUAACCAGCAAGUCACGGCUAACUACGUGCCAG